Non-coding RNA from Salmo salar (Atlantic salmon), 54 nucleotides. The record is from Rfam. NCBI's taxonomy places the organism in Eukaryota, Metazoa, Chordata, Actinopteri, Salmoniformes, Salmonidae.
UGCACUAACUACUGUAAGUCGCUCUGGAUAAGAGCAUCUGCUAAAUGACAAAAC